UGUGAGACCUUUGGUUUGUACCCA
This 24-nucleotide non-coding RNA is filed under the name Arabidopsis thaliana (thale cress). The record is from RNAcentral. Lineage: Eukaryota; Viridiplantae; Streptophyta; Magnoliopsida; Brassicales; Brassicaceae.